This 609-nucleotide long non-coding RNA is filed under the name Panax ginseng (ginseng). RNAcentral's name for it is "long non-coding RNA (PGIN_LNC004658)". Lineage: Eukaryota; Viridiplantae; Streptophyta; Magnoliopsida; Apiales; Araliaceae. The record is from RNAcentral.
CUCACAUCUACAAGUAAGAUGAUUAUCAUUAUUUUUAAGAACAGGGUGUGCUGUUUAUUUUGAUUAUACUAAUAUUUCUUUGUGAAAUAAUAUUGUUGAUACUAGUGCAUUGCCGAUAAAACUUUCUUUCAAGAUCCUUCAGAAACCAUCUUCUGGGGUACUGCUCUGAUUUCAAAUGUUUCUUUGCAUUUAAUUUUUUUGCCUGUUAUUUUGAGGUAGUGCUGAUUUGUAUAUGCGGUGUCUCUUCUCCUGACCACAGGGCCGAAGUUUGCAAGUACAUGAAUAAAAUCUUUGUACUUGGUUAAUUAUUAGACAAGCCUGUUGCACUGGAUCGGUUUAGAGCAAUACUUUAUCUUUUCUUUUCAUGUUACCAGUUAGAGCGCGUCAAGAUAUUGUUGACUGAAGAUUUGGCAUCAUAUUUAAGAUAUUAUAACUGAGUUUACUGUUACAAGACUGUGAUAGACUUUGGUGGCUAUGUUCUGAGCUAGGAUUCCAAGCUACUGUCUAGAACUAUAUUUGGCUUUGAUCAGUUCCUCAACUGGUCUCAAGAUGCUCUGCAGUUCUAGACUUCUUUUACUUUUUGUUCCUGACAACGACCUCGAAGCCAUU